GACGAACGCUGGCGGCGUGCCUAACACAUGCAAGUCGCACGAGUCCACUCCUUCGGGAGUGAGGCGAGUGGCGGACGGGUGAGUAACACGUGAGCAAUCUGUCCCGCUGCGGGGGAUAACCCGGGGAAACGUCGGGCUAAUACCGCAUGGUCGGCUUCCAGGAUCUGGGAGCCGGGAAAGGUGGCCUCUUUACAAUGCUACCGUGACGGGAGGAGCUCGCGGGCUAUCAGCUAGUUGGUGCGGUCACGGCGCACCAAGGCAACGACGGCUACGGGGUCUGAGAGGACGACCCCGCACAUUGGAACUGAGACACGGUCCAGACUCCUACGGGA
RNAcentral lists this ribosomal RNA (332 nucleotides) under uncultured bacterium. RNAcentral's name for it is "bacterial SSU rRNA". It matches the Rfam family "Bacterial small subunit ribosomal RNA", at positions 28 to 346 of the family's 1533-position model. The record is from RNAcentral.